RNAcentral lists this ribosomal RNA (467 nucleotides) under uncultured bacterium. RNAcentral's name for it is "partial 16S ribosomal RNA". It matches the Rfam family "Bacterial small subunit ribosomal RNA", at positions 28 to 507 of the family's 1533-position model. The record is from RNAcentral.
GAUGAACGCUGACAGCAUGCUUAACACAUGCAAGUCAACUUGAAUUUGGGUUUUUAACUUAGGUUUGGGUGGCGGACGGGUGAGUAACGCGUAAAGAACUUGCCUCACAGCUAGGGACAACAUUUGGAAACGAAUGCUAAUACCUAAUAUUAUGAUAAUAGGGCAUCCUAUAAUUAUGAAAGCUAUAAGCGCUGUGAGAGAGCUUUGCGUCCCAUUAGCUAGUUGGAGAGGUAACGGCUCACCAAGGCGAUGAUGGGUAGCCGGCCUGAGAGGGUGAUCGGCCACAAGGGGACUGAGACACGGCCCUUACUCCUACGGGAGGCAGCAGUGGGGAAUAUUGGACAAUGGACCGAGAGUCUGAUCCAGCAAUUCUGUGUGCACGAUGAAGUUUUUCGGAAUGUAAAGUGCUUUCAGUUGGGAAGAAACAAAUGACGGUACCAACAGAAGAAGUGACGGCUAAAUACGUG